RNAcentral lists this ribosomal RNA (465 nucleotides) under uncultured Klebsiella sp. Its description in RNAcentral is "bacterial SSU rRNA". It matches the Rfam family "Bacterial small subunit ribosomal RNA", at positions 338 to 795 of the family's 1533-position model. Lineage: Bacteria; Pseudomonadati; Pseudomonadota; Gammaproteobacteria; Enterobacterales; Enterobacteriaceae. The record is from RNAcentral.
CCUACGGGGGGCUGCAGUGGGGAAUAUUGCACAAUGGGCGCAAGCCUGAUGCAGCCAUGCCGCGUGUGUGAAGAAGGCCUUCGGGUUGUAAAGCACUUUCAGCGGGGAGGAAGGCGGUGAGGUUAAUAACCUCAUCGAUUGACGUUACCCGCAGAAGAAGCACCGGCUAACUCCGUGCCAGCAGCCGCGGUAAUACGGAGGGUGCAAGCGUCAAUCGGAAUUACUGGGCGUAAAGCGCACGCAGGCGGUCUGUCAAGUCGGAUGUGAAAUCCCCGGGCUCAACCUGGGAACUGCAUUCGAAACUGGCAGGCUAGAGUCUUGUAGAGGGGGGUAGAAUUCCAGGUGUAGCGGUGAAAUGCGUAGAGAUCUGGAGGAAUACCGGUGGCGAAGGCGGCCCCCUGGACAAAGACUGACGCUCAGGUGCGAAAGCGUGGGGAGCAAACAGGAUUAGAUACCCGUGUAGUC